CUAUAAUGCAAGUCCGAGCGAACGGACGAGAAGCUUGCUUCUCUGAUGUUAGCGGCGGACGGGUGAGUAACACGUGGAUAACCUACCUAUAAGACUGGGAUAACUUCGGGAAACCGGAGCUAAUACCGGAUAAUAUUUUGAACCGCAUGGUUCAAAAGUGAAAGACGGUCUUGCUGUCACUUAUAGAUGGAUCCGCGCUGCAUUAGCUAGUUGGUAAGGUAACGGCUUACCAAGGCAACGAUGCAUAGCCGACACUGAGAGGGUGAUCGGUCAAACUGGAACUGANACACGGUCCAGACUCCUCACGGGANGCANCANUANGNAAUCUUCCCAGCGCAACUUUAAGUUUAGUUGCCAUCAUUAUAUUGGGCACUAUAGAUUGACUCCCGUUGACAAACCGGAGAAAAGGGGGGGAUGACGACAAAUCCUCCCCCCCCUUAUGAUUUGGGCUACACACGUCUACAAUGGACAAACAAAGGGCAGCGAACGCGGGAGGUCAAGCAAAUCCCANAAAGUUGUUCUCAGUUCGGAUUGUAGUCUGCAACUCGCCUACAUGAAGCUGGAAUCGCUUGUAAUCGUAGAUCAGCAUGCUACGGUGAAUACGUUCCCGGGUCUUGUACACACCGCCCGUCACACCACGAGAGUUUGUAACACCCGAAGCCGGUGGAGUACCUUUAGGAGCUAGCCGUCGAAGG
RNAcentral lists this ribosomal RNA (695 nucleotides) under bacterium DEN D17. RNAcentral describes it as "partial 16S ribosomal RNA". It matches the Rfam family "Bacterial small subunit ribosomal RNA". The record is from RNAcentral.